RNAcentral lists this non-coding RNA (48 nucleotides) under Schistosoma mansoni. The record is from RNAcentral. Lineage: Eukaryota; Metazoa; Platyhelminthes; Trematoda; Strigeidida; Schistosomatidae.
AUCCAGAUGACGCGUCCCAAAUUGGAUGAAGUGACGCGCGUCCUAGAU